GACGAACGCUGGCGGCGUGCUUAACACAUGCAAGUCGAACGAAGAGCGACGGAAGCUUGCUUCUAUCAAUCUUAGUGGCGAACGGGUGAGUAACGCGUAAUCAACCUGCCCUUCAGAGGGGGACAACAGUUGGAAACGACUGCUAAUACCGCAUACGAUCUAACCUCGGCAUCGAGGAUAGAUGAAAGGUGGCCUCUACAUGUAAGCUAUCACUGAAGGAGGGGAUUGCGUCUGAUUAGCUAGUUGGAGGGGUAACGGCCCACCAAGGCGAUGAUCAGUAGCCGGUCUGAGAGGAUGAACGGCCACAUUGGGACUGAGACACGGCCCAGACUUCUACGGGAGGCAGCAGUGGGGAAUCUUCCGCAAUGGACGAAAGUCUGACGGAGCAACGCCGCGUGAGUGAUGACGGCCUUCGGGUUGUAAAGCUCUGUUAAUCGGGACGAAAGGCCUUCUUGCGAAUAGUGAGAAGGAUUGACGGUACCGGAAUAGAAAGCCACGGCUAACUACGUG
This 510-nucleotide ribosomal RNA is filed under the name uncultured bacterium. RNAcentral describes it as "partial 16S ribosomal RNA". It matches the Rfam family "Bacterial small subunit ribosomal RNA", at positions 28 to 507 of the family's 1533-position model. The record is from RNAcentral.